GGAUUGUGGCUCAGUGGUAGAACACUUGCCUUGCACGCAUGAAACAAUGGGUUCAAUCCUCAGCACCA
This 68-nucleotide transfer RNA is filed under the name Marmota monax (woodchuck). RNAcentral's name for it is "tRNA.Ala". Lineage: Eukaryota; Metazoa; Chordata; Mammalia; Rodentia; Sciuridae. The record is from RNAcentral.